RNAcentral lists this ribosomal RNA (909 nucleotides) under Mylopharodon conocephalus (hardhead). RNAcentral's name for it is "partial 16S ribosomal RNA". It matches the Rfam family "Bacterial large subunit ribosomal RNA", at positions 568 to 2006 of the family's 2925-position model. Lineage: Eukaryota; Metazoa; Chordata; Actinopteri; Cypriniformes; Leuciscidae. The record is from RNAcentral.
UGAACCACCCCAUAUAAGCACUAAGAAACAAAGACUAAACCUUGUACCUUUUGCAUCAUGAUUUAGCCAGCACCCUCAAGCAAAGAGACCUUUAGUUUGAAACCCCGAAACCAGGUGAGCUACCCCGAGACAGCCUAUAUUAUUUAGGGCUAACCCGUCUCUGUGGCAAAAGAGUGGGAAGAGCUCCGGGUAGAAGUGACAGACCUACCGAACCUGGUGAUAGCUGGUUGUCUGAGAAGUGGAUAGAAGUUCAGCCUCAUACGCCCCAGAUCAACAUGUAUAUUAUUAAGAUACUCAAGGGAAAUAUAUGAGAGUUAGUUGAAAGGGGUACAGCCCUUUUAACAAAGGAUACAACCUUUACAGGAGGAUAAAGAUCAUAAUAUAUAAAACAUACUGUUUUAGUGGGCCUAAAAGCAGCCACCUAAAUAGAAAGCGUUAAAGCUCAGACAGAAGGAAGUUUAUUAUACCGAUAAAAAAUCUUAUUCCCCUAAUUAUAUCAGAUCAACCCAUGCCCACAUGGAAGAGAUUAUGCUAGAAUGAGUAACAAGAAGACCUGCACUUCUCCUUGCACAAGUGUAAGCCAGAUCGGACAAACCACUGGAAUUUAACGAACCCAACCCAAGAGGGCAAUGUGAACAACAAAAAUAUCGAGAAGAAUUCACAAUUAAACUGAUCGUUAACCCCACACUGGAGUGCCAUUUUAUAAAGGAAAGACUAAAAGGUGGGAAAGGAACUCGGCAAACACAAGCCUCGCCUGUUUACCAAAAACAUCGCCUCCUGCAACUAAAUUGAGUAUAGGAGGUCCAGCCUGCCCAGUGACUACGGGUUCAACGGCCGCGGUAUUUUGACCGUGCAAAGGUAGCGCAAUCACUUGUCUCUUAAAUAGAGACCUGUAUGAAUGGCUAGACG